GAUCAUUGUCGUUGCCUCUCGAAAAACACGACCGUYGCACGCGUGACAGAAUGCCGCCGGGGAGGCGCCCGCCGCCUCCCCGGCCCCGCCGGCCCCUUCCCUCUCGCCCCCCGGGCGYGUCGGUCGGUGUCCGGAACACGGCGCGGAUGGCGCCAAGGAACACGAUACRGCCGGGGCGCCGGCGAGCCUCUCGGGGGCUUCGCCGGUCGCCGAGGCCAAUGAAAAAGAAAUAUGACUCUCGGCAACGGAUAUCUCGGCUCUCGCAUCGAUGAAGAACGUAGCGAAAUGCGAUACGUGGUGUGAAUUGCAGAAUCCCGUGAACCAUCGAGUCUUUGAACGCAAGUUGCGCCCGAGGGACCCUCCCGAGGGCACGCCUGCCUCACGGGCGUUAGAAGCCCAUCCACGCUCCGCUGCCUCACGGCAGAGAUGCGGACAUUGGCCCUCCGAACCGCGAGGCGCGGUGGGCCCAAGUGUGCGGCCGUCGUACGCGGCCGGGAGCGGCGAGUGUUGGGCUACUGCGCGCGUCGCCCCGAGCCCCGUACCGACUCGGGCCCUGAUUGACCCCCUAACGAGGAGCGUGACGUCGCGGCUCGCGCCGCGCGGCGCCUUCGGACCGAUACCCCAGGUCAGGCGGGGCUACCCGCUGAGUUUAAGCAUAUAAAUAAG
This 666-nucleotide ribosomal RNA is filed under the name Carex hamlinii. RNAcentral's name for it is "eukaryotic LSU rRNA". The stretch from base 234 to 388 matches the Rfam family "5.8S ribosomal RNA". The record is from RNAcentral. Lineage: Eukaryota; Viridiplantae; Streptophyta; Magnoliopsida; Poales; Cyperaceae.